This 492-nucleotide ribosomal RNA is filed under the name uncultured bacterium. Its description in RNAcentral is "partial 16S ribosomal RNA". It matches the Rfam family "Bacterial small subunit ribosomal RNA", at positions 29 to 507 of the family's 1533-position model. The record is from RNAcentral.
AGUGAACGCUGGCGGUAGGCCUAACACAUGCAAGUCGAACGGCAGCACAGUAAGAGCUUGCUCUUACGGGUGGCGAGUGGCGGAUGGGUGAGGAAUACAUCGGAAUCUACUUUUUCGUGGGGGAUAACGUAGGGAAACUUACGCUAAUACCGCAUACGACCUACGGGUGAAAGCAGGGGAUCUUCGGACCUUGCGCGAUUGAAUUAGCCGAUGUCGGAUUAGCUAGUUGGCGGGGUAAAGGCCCACCAAGGCGACGAUCCGUAGCUGGUCUGAGCGGAUGAUCAGCCACACUGGAACUGAGACACGGUCCAGACUCCUACGGGAGGCAGCAGUGGGGAAUAUUGGACAAUGGGCGCAAGCCUGAUCCAGCCAUACCGCGUGAGUGAAGAAGGCCUUCGGGUUGUAAAGCCCUUUUGUUGGGAAAGAAAAGCAGCAGGUUAAUACCCCGCUGUUCUGACGGUACCCAAAGAAUAAGCACCGGCUAACUUCGUG